GAUGAACGCUGGCGGCGUGCCUAAUACAUGCGAGUCGAGCGAACAGAUGAGGAGCUUGCUCCUCUGACGUUAGCGGCGGACGGGUGAGUAACACGUGGAUAACCUACCUAUAAGACUGGGAUAACUUCGGGAAACCGGAGCUGAUACCGGAUAAUAUAUUGAACCGCAUGGUUCAAUAGUGAAAGACGGUUUUGCUGUCACUUAUAGAUGGAUCCGCGCCGCAUUAGCUAGUUGGUAAGGUAACGGCUUACCAAGGCAACGAUGCGUAGCCGACCUGAGAGGGUGAUCGGCCACACUGGAACUGAGACACGGUCCAGACUCCUACGGGAGGCAGCAGUAGGGAAUCUUCCGCAAUGGGCGAAAGCCUGACGGAGCAACGCCGCGUGAGUGAUGAAGGUCUUCGGAUCGUAAAACUCUGUUAUUAGGGAAGAACAAAUGUGUAAGUAACUAUGCACGUCUUGACGGUACCUAAUCAGAAAGCCACGGCUAACUACGUG
Molecule: ribosomal RNA, 497 nt
Filed under: uncultured bacterium
Lineage: Bacteria
Description: partial 16S ribosomal RNA
Rfam family: Bacterial small subunit ribosomal RNA
Source: RNAcentral